GCUCGGAUAGUGUAGUGGUUAUCACGCGAUGCUCACACCAUCGAGGUCCCUGGAUCGAUCCCAGGUCCGAGCA
RNAcentral lists this transfer RNA (73 nucleotides) under Cladophialophora immunda. Its description in RNAcentral is "tRNA-Val (CAC) (tRNA-Val-CAC-1-1)". It matches the Rfam family "tRNA". Rfam says of the family: Transfer RNA (tRNA) molecules are approximately 80 nucleotides in length. Their secondary structure includes four short double-helical elements and three loops (D, anti-codon, and T loops). Further hydrogen bonds mediate the characteristic L-shaped molecular structure. tRNAs have two regions of fundamental functional importance: the anti-codon, which is responsible for specific mRNA codon recognition, and the 3' end, to which the tRNAs corresponding amino acid is attached (by aminoacyl-tRNA synthetases). tRNAs cope with the degeneracy of the genetic code in two manners: having more than one tRNA (with a specific anti-codon) for a particular amino acid; and 'wobble' base-pairing, i.e. permitting non-standard base-pairing at the 3rd anti-codon position. Lineage: Eukaryota; Fungi; Ascomycota; Eurotiomycetes; Chaetothyriales; Herpotrichiellaceae. The record is from RNAcentral.